GAUCAUGGCUCAGGAUGAACGCUAGCGGCAGGCUUAACACAUGCAAGUCGAGGGGCGAGCGAGAUCAAAGCUUGCUUUGGUUGUCGGCGACCGGCGCACGGGUGCGUAACGCGUAUGCAACCUACCCACUACAGGGGAUAACACUGAGAAAUCGGUACUAAUACCCCAUAAUAUCUUGGAAGGCAUCUUCCGAGGUUGAAAACUCCGGUGGUAGUGGAUGGGCAUGGCGUUGUAUUAGCUGGG
Molecule: ribosomal RNA, 243 nt
Filed under: uncultured bacterium
Lineage: Bacteria
Description: partial 16S ribosomal RNA
Rfam family: Bacterial small subunit ribosomal RNA
Source: RNAcentral